Molecule: ribosomal RNA, 494 nt
Filed under: uncultured bacterium
Lineage: Bacteria
Description: partial 16S ribosomal RNA
Rfam family: Bacterial small subunit ribosomal RNA
Source: RNAcentral
GACGAACGCUGGCGGCGUGCUUAACACAUGCAAGUCGAACGGAAAGGCCUGCUUUCCCUUGUGGAUUGCGGGUACUCGAGAGGCGAACGGGUGAGUAACACGUGAGUGAUCUGCCCCCAACUUGGGUAUAAGCCUGGGAAACUGGGUCUAAUUCCCGAUAGGACUGCAGGGUGGUGCCUGUGGUGGAAAACGAUUUUCUAGUGGUUGGGGAUGAGCUCGCGGCCUAUCAGCUUGUUGGUGGGGUAAUGGCCUACCAAGGCGGCGACGGGUAGCCGGCCUGGGAGGGUGGACGGCCACAUUGGGACUGAGAUACGGCCCAGACUCCUACGGGAGGCAGCAGUGGGGAAUAUUGCACAAUGGGCGGAAGCCUGAUGCAGCGACGCCGCGUGGGGGAUGACGGCCUUCGGGUUGUAAACUCCUUUCGACCGCGAGGAAGCCACCUGGUUGGAAGGGUGGUGACGGUAGUGGUAGAAGAAGCACCGGCUAACUACGUG